AGAGUUUGAUCUUGGCUCAGGACGAACGCUGGCGGCGUGCCUAAUACAUGCAAGUCGAGCGAGCUUGCCUAGAUGAUUUUAGUGCUUGCACUAAAUGAAACUAGAUACAAGCGAGCGGCGGACGGGUGAGUAACACGUGGGUAACCUGCCCAAGAGACUGGGAUAACACCUGGAAACAGAUGCUAAUACCGGAUAACAACACUAGACGCAUGUCUAGAGUUUGAAAGAUGGUUCUGCUAUCACUCUUGGAUGGACCUGCGGUGCAUUAGCUAGUUGGUAAGGUAACGGCUUACCAAGGCAAUGAUGCAUAGCCGAGUUGAGAGACUGAUCGGCCACAUUGGGACUGAGACACGGCCCAAACUCCUACCCCACGCAGCAGUAGGGAAUCUUCCACAAUGGACGAAAGUCUGAUGGAGCAACGCCGCGUGAGUGAAGAAGGGUUUCGGCUCGUAAAGCUCUGUUGGUAGUGAAGAAAGAUAGAGGUAGUAACUGGCCUUUAUUUGACGGUAAUUACU
This 515-nucleotide ribosomal RNA is filed under the name uncultured bacterium. RNAcentral's name for it is "bacterial SSU rRNA". It matches the Rfam family "Bacterial small subunit ribosomal RNA", at positions 8 to 483 of the family's 1533-position model. The record is from RNAcentral.